UCGAACCUGCCGCAGGUUCGGGUCUCACGUAGUGAGACAACGGAGCCGCUUGCGGCGACGGCCCGAAGGGCGAGCAAAGCGAGUCAUCCUGCACGACCCACCA
RNAcentral lists this small RNA (103 nucleotides) under Salmonella enterica subsp. enterica serovar Heidelberg. Its description in RNAcentral is "partial RtT sRNA". It matches the Rfam family "RtT RNA", at positions 24 to 130 of the family's 130-position model. Rfam says of the family: This family represents a bacterial cis-regulatory element known as RtT RNA. The exact function of RtT is unknown although it is thought that it may be involved in changing the cellular response in relation to amino acid starvation. Lineage: Bacteria; Pseudomonadati; Pseudomonadota; Gammaproteobacteria; Enterobacterales; Enterobacteriaceae. RNAcentral also lists the same sequence under 6 other names. The record is from RNAcentral.